GUGUGACAUCUUUCUGAACUCCCUCGACCGUCCGAACUUCCAUAAUACCAUCCAGACUUCUUCGACAGUGAGCUUCUCCAUUCAUCUAUCAGGCCACUCCAAAUGCUCUCUGGGCUUCACUAUCAGCCGAUUUUCUACAGUGAUCAACUAUUCUCCGAAUCUCUUCCAGACUUCUUCCGACCACAGAUGACUCUACUCCAAACUUCUUCCAGACUUCGUCAAUAUCC
This 227-nucleotide long non-coding RNA is filed under the name Elaeis guineensis (African oil palm). RNAcentral's name for it is "long non-coding RNA (EGUI_LNC062459)". The record is from RNAcentral. Lineage: Eukaryota; Viridiplantae; Streptophyta; Magnoliopsida; Arecales; Arecaceae.